RNAcentral lists this ribosomal RNA (465 nucleotides) under uncultured bacterium. RNAcentral describes it as "partial 16S ribosomal RNA". It matches the Rfam family "Bacterial small subunit ribosomal RNA", at positions 28 to 507 of the family's 1533-position model. The record is from RNAcentral.
GACGAACGCUGGCGGCGUGCUUAACACAUGCAAGUCGAACGGAAAGGCCCUGCUUGCCGGGUACUCGAGUGGCGAACGGGUGAGUAACACGUGGGUGAUCUGCCCUGCACUUCGGGAUAAGCCUGGGAAACUGGGUCUAAUGCCGGAUAGGAGCCAUUUUUAGUGUGAUGGUUGGAAAGUUUUUUCGGUGUAGGAUGAGCUCGCGGCCUAUCAGCUUGUUGGUGGGGUAAUGGCCUACCAAGGCGGCGACGGGUAGCCGGCAUGAGAGGGUGGACGGCCACAUUGGGACUGAGAUACGGCCCAGACUCCUACGGGAGGCAGCAGUGGAGAAAAUUGCACAAUGGGCGCAAGCCUGAUGCAGCGACGCCGCGUGGGGGAUGACGGCCUUCGGGUUGUAAACACCUUUCGCUAGGGACGAAGCUUUUUGUGACGGUACCUAGAUAAGAAGCACCGGCUAACUACGUG